CAGCAGCCGCGGGAAUACGAAGGGGGCUAGCGUUGCUCGGAAUGACUGGGCGUAAAGGGCGCGUAGGCGGCGAUCAAAGUCAGGCGUGAAAUUCCUGGGCUCAACCUGGGGGCUGCGCUUGAUACUUGGUUGCUUGAGUGGGGAAGAGGGUCGUGGAAUUCCCAGUGUAGAGGUGAAAUUCGUAGAUAUUGGGAAGAACACCGGUGGCGAAGGCGGCGACCUGGUCCUUGACUGACGCUGAGGCGCGAAAGCGUGGGGAGCAAACAGGAUUAGAUACCCCUGUAGUCCCUGUCUCUUAACA
Molecule: ribosomal RNA, 301 nt
Filed under: uncultured bacterium
Lineage: Bacteria
Description: partial 16S ribosomal RNA
Rfam family: Bacterial small subunit ribosomal RNA
Source: RNAcentral